GAUGAACGCUGGCGGCGUGCCUAAUACAUGCAAGUCGAGCGAACGGACGAGAAGCUUGCUUCUCUGAUGUUAGCGGCGGACGGGUGAGUAACACGUGGAUAACCUACCUAUAAGACUGGGAUAACCUCGGGAAACCGGAGCUAAUACCGGAUGAUAUUUUGAACCGCAUGGUUCAAAAGUGAAAGACGGUCUUGCUGUCACUUAUAGAUGGAUCCGCGCUGCAUUAGCUAGUUGGUAAGGUAACGGCUUACCAAGGCAACGAUGCAUAGCCGACCUGAGAGGGUGAUCGGCCACACUGGAACUGAGACACGGUCCAGACUCCUACGGGAGGCAGCAGUAGGGAAUCUUCCGCAAUGGGCGAAAGCCUGACGGAGCAACGCCGCGUGAGUGAUGAAGGUCUUCGGAUCGUAAAACUCUGUUAUUAGGGAAGAACAUAUGUGUAAGUAACUGUGCACAUUUUGACGGUACCUAAUCAGAAAGCCACGGCUAACUACGUG
Molecule: ribosomal RNA, 497 nt
Filed under: uncultured bacterium
Lineage: Bacteria
Description: partial 16S ribosomal RNA
Rfam family: Bacterial small subunit ribosomal RNA
Source: RNAcentral